The sequence is a ribosomal RNA, 869 nucleotides long. It matches the Rfam family "Eukaryotic large subunit ribosomal RNA", at positions 50 to 933 of the family's 3401-position model.
GCGGAGGAAAAGAAACCAACAGGGAUUGCCUCAGUAACGGCGAGUGAAGCGGCAACAGCUCAAAUCUGAAAUCUGACCCCUUCGGGGCCCGAGUUGUAAUUUGUAGAGGGUGUUUCGGGCGCGGCGCCGGUCUAAGUUCCUUGGAACAGGACGUCAUAGAGGGUGAGAAUCCCGUAUGUGACCGGCGAUCAAGCCCAUGUGAAGCCCCUUCGACGAGUCGAGUUGUUUGGGAAUGCAGCUCAAAAUGGGUGGUAAAUUCCAUCUAAAGCUAAAUAUUGGCCGGAGACCGAUAGCGGACAAGUAGAGUGAUCGAAAGAUGAAAAGCACUUUGGAAAGAGAGUCAAACAGUACGUGAAAUUGUUGAAAGGGAAGCGCUUGCAAUCAGACCGGUCCGGGGGCGAUCAGCCGCUGCUUGUCAGCUGGUGCACUCGCCCCCGAUCCGGCCAGCAUCGGUUUGGGCGGUGGGAGAAAAGCCCCGGGAAUGUAGCUUCUUUCGGGGAGUCUUAUAGCCCGGGGCGCAAUGCCGCCCGCCCGGACCGAGGACCGCGCUUCGGCUAGGAUGCUGGCGUAAUGGUUGCAAGCGACCCGUCUUGAAACACGGACCAAGGAGUCUAACAUCUAUGCGAGUGUUUGGGUGUCAAACCCAGGCGCGGAAUGAAAGUGAACGGAGGUGGGAGCCUGUCAAACGGCGCACCAUCGACCGAUCCAGAUGUCUUCGGAUGGAUUUGAGUAUGAGCAUAGCUGUUGGGACCCGAAAGAUGGUGAACUAUGCCCGGAUAGGGUGAAGCCAGAGGAAACUCUGGUGGAGGCUCGCAGCGGUUCUGACGUGCAAAUCGAUCGUCAAAUCUAGGCAUAGGGGCGAAAGACCC